Molecule: transfer RNA, 55 nt
Filed under: Rhigonema thysanophora
Lineage: Eukaryota; Metazoa; Nematoda; Chromadorea; Rhabditida; Rhigonematidae
Description: tRNA-Thr
Source: RNAcentral
GCUGUUCUAGUUUAAUUGAGAAUGCGCGGUUUGUAACUGUGAUGUUUUACCAGCU